RNAcentral lists this unclassified non-coding RNA (337 nucleotides) under soil metagenome. Its description in RNAcentral is "partial contains 5.8S ribosomal RNA, internal transcribed spacer 2, and large subunit ribosomal RNA". The stretch from base 1 to 120 matches the Rfam family "5.8S ribosomal RNA", at positions 35 to 154 of the family's 154-position model. The record is from RNAcentral.
GAUGAAGAACGCAGCGAAAUGCGAUAAGUAGUGUGAAUUGCAGAAUUCAGUGAAUCAUCGAAUCUUUGAACGCACAUUGCGCCCCUUGGUAUUCCAUGGGGCAUGCCUGUUCGAGCGUCAUUUGUACCUUCAAGCUCUGCUUGGUGUUGGGUGUUUGUCUUGCCUCUGCGUGUAGACUCGCCUUAAAACAAUUGGCAGCCGGCGUAUUGAUUUCGGAGCGCAGUACAUCUCGCGCUUUGCACUCAUAACGACGACGUCCAAAAGUACAUUUUUACACUCUUGACCUCGGAUCAGGUAGGGAUACCCGCUGAACUUAAGCAUAUCAAUAAGCGGAGGA